GAUGAACGCUAGCUACAGGCUUAACACAUGCAAGUCGAGGGGAAACGACAGAGGAAGCUUGCUUCCUUUGGGCGUCGACCGGCGCACGGGUGAGUAACGCGUAUCCAACCUUCCCGCAAGUAAGGGAUAACCCGUAGAAAUGCGGCCUAAUACCUUAUGUUUUCCUUAGGGGGCAUCUGAUGAGGAACAAAGAUCCGUCGCUUGCGGAUGGGGAUGCGUCUGAUUAGUUAGUCGGCGGGGUAACGGCCCACCGAGACGACGAUCAGUAGGGGUUCUGAGAGGAAAGUCCCCCCACAUUGGAACUGAGACACGGUCCAAACUCCUACGGGAGGCAGCAGUGAGGAAUAUUGGUCAAUGGACGGAAGUCUGAACCAGCCAAGUAGCGUGCAGGAUGACGGCCCUAUGGGUUGUAAACUGCUUUUAUAUGGGGAUAAAGUGGGCCACGUGUGGCUUAUUGCAGGUACCAUAUGAAUAAGGACCGGCUAAUUCCGUG
RNAcentral lists this ribosomal RNA (493 nucleotides) under uncultured bacterium. RNAcentral describes it as "bacterial SSU rRNA". It matches the Rfam family "Bacterial small subunit ribosomal RNA", at positions 28 to 507 of the family's 1533-position model. The record is from RNAcentral.